UACAGAGGUGGCAAGCGUUGUUCGGAAUUACUGGGCGUAAAGCGUGCGUAGACGGUUAUGUAAGUUAGGUGUGAAAGCCCCGGGCUCAACCUGGGAAUUGCAUUUAAGACUGCAUAGCUAGGGUGCGGAAGAGGGAAGCGGAAUUUCCGGUGUAGCGGUGAAAUGCGUAGAUAUCGGAAGGAACAUCAGUGGCGAAAGCGGCUUCCUGGUCCAGCACCGACGUUCAGGCACGAAAGCGUGGGGAGCAAACAGG
Molecule: ribosomal RNA, 253 nt
Filed under: uncultured bacterium
Lineage: Bacteria
Description: partial 16S ribosomal RNA
Rfam family: Bacterial small subunit ribosomal RNA
Source: RNAcentral